Molecule: non-coding RNA, 83 nt
Organism: Danio rerio (zebrafish)
Lineage: Eukaryota; Metazoa; Chordata; Actinopteri; Cypriniformes; Danionidae
Source: Rfam
GUCAGGAUGGCUGAGGGAUCUAAGGUGCUGCGUUCAGAUCGCAGUCUCCGCUGGAGGCGUGGGUUCAAAUCCCACUUCUGACA